This 497-nucleotide ribosomal RNA is filed under the name uncultured bacterium. RNAcentral describes it as "partial 16S ribosomal RNA". It matches the Rfam family "Bacterial small subunit ribosomal RNA", at positions 28 to 507 of the family's 1533-position model. The record is from RNAcentral.
GAUGAACGCUGGCGGCGUGCCUAAUACAUGCAAGUCGAGCGAACGGACGAGAAGCUUGCUUCUCUGAUGUUAGCGGCGGACGGGUGAGUAACACGUGGAUAACCUACCUAUAAGACUGGGAUAACUUCGGGAAACCGUAGCUAAUACCGGAUAAUAUUUUGAACCGCAUGGUUCAAAAGUGAAAGACGGUCUUGCUGUCACUUAUAGGUGGAUCCGCGCUGCAUUAGCUAGUUGGUAAGGUAACGGCUUACCAAGGCAACGAUGCAUAGCCGACCUGAGAGGGUGAUCGGCCACACUGGAACUGAGACACGGUCCAGACUCCUACGGGAGGCAGCAGUAGGGAAUCUUCCGCAAAGGGCGAAAGCCUGACGGAGCAACGCCGCGUGAGUGAUGAAGGUCUUCGGAUCGUAAAACUCUGUUAUUAGGGAAGAACAUAUGUGUAAGUAACUGUGCACAUCUUGACGGUACCUAAUCAGAAAGCCACGGCUAACUACGUG